This is a long non-coding RNA of Prionailurus viverrinus (fishing cat), 492 nucleotides long. RefSeq lists it as uncharacterized. Lineage: Eukaryota; Metazoa; Chordata; Mammalia; Carnivora; Felidae. The transcript has 4 exons. The record is from RefSeq and is a predicted model, not a curated record.
AGGUCCCCGCUUCAGUGCCUUUAGUUAAAUCAGGGUGUGUGCACUAGGGUCGAGCAGGCUCCUUUCCCCAGUUGCGGUCGCGCCCUUGCUUCAGGAUGAGGCACGGAACGACCCACGCCUGCGGUCCUGCCCCGGGAUCCUGAAGGGCGGCAAACACGGUUGGCCCCGCAGGCGCUCACCCCGCCCUCCCCUCUGGCUGUUCCCUAUCUGGAGUGACUUAGAGGAGAGAAGCAGUGUGGUGCAGUGGGCCAUCUGACUUCAUGGAUCAGACAAAGGGAAUCGUUGCCUUCUACAUCCGGAUGUUGGCCCCUAAACGGCACACCUCUGCAUGUUCAACAGCAGUGGCAGCAGCUUCAGCAAACAUCAGCAUCACAGUUGCCAUUCAGCAGAUUGGAAAUUAUCAGAGUCAUAUCUAAUAACUGCAGUGAGACCUGUUGUCCAAUAUAGCAGCCACCAGUGACUUGUGAUUGAUGAACUCAUGAAAUAUGGCUG